This 252-nucleotide ribosomal RNA is filed under the name uncultured bacterium. RNAcentral's name for it is "partial 16S ribosomal RNA". It matches the Rfam family "Bacterial small subunit ribosomal RNA", at positions 524 to 776 of the family's 1533-position model. The record is from RNAcentral.
UACGGAGGAUGCGAGCGUUAUCCGGAUUUAUUGGGUUUAAAGGGUGCGUAGGCGGACUGUCAAGUCAGCGGUAAAAUUGAGAGGCUCAACCUCUUCCCGCCGUUGAAACUGGCGUUCUUGAGUGGGCGAGAAGUAUGCGGAAUGCGUGGUGUAGCGGUGAAAUGCAUAGAUAUCACGCAGAACCCCGAUUGCGAAGGCAGCAUGCCGGCUUCCGACUGACGCUGAAGCACGAAAGCGUGGGGAUCGAACAGG